This 552-nucleotide ribosomal RNA is filed under the name uncultured archaeon. RNAcentral's name for it is "bacterial SSU rRNA". It matches the Rfam family "Archaeal small subunit ribosomal RNA", at positions 307 to 859 of the family's 1478-position model. The record is from RNAcentral.
GACAAGGUUCCAGGCCCUACGGGGUGCAGCAGGCGCGAAACCUCCGCAAUGUGAGAAAUCGCGACGGGGGGAUCCCAAGUGCCAUUCUUAACGGGAUGGCUUUUCAUUAGUGUAAAGAGCUUUUGGAAUAAGAGCUGGGCAAGACCGGUGCCAGCCGCCGCGGUAACACCGGCAGCUCUAGUGGUAACAAUUUUUAUUGGGCCUAAAGCGUCCGUAGCCGGUUUAAUAAGUCUCUGGUGAAAUCCUGUAGCUUAACUGUGGGAAUUGCUGGAGAUACUAUUAGACUUGAGACCGGGAGAGGUUAGAGGUACUCCCAGGGUAGAGGUGAAAUUCUGUAAUCCUGGGAGGACCGCCUGUUGCGAAGGCGUCUAACUGGAACGGUUCUGACGGUGAGGGACGAAAGUUAGGGGCGCGAACCGGAUUAGAUACCCGGGUAGUCCUAACUGUAAACGAUGCGGACUUGGUGUUGGGGUGGCUUUGAGCUGCUCCAGUGCCGAAGGGAAGCUGUUAAGUCCGCCGCCUGGGAAGUACGGUCGCAAGACUGAAACUUAA